Molecule: ribosomal RNA, 491 nt
Filed under: Escherichia coli
Lineage: Bacteria; Pseudomonadati; Pseudomonadota; Gammaproteobacteria; Enterobacterales; Enterobacteriaceae
Description: bacterial SSU rRNA
Rfam family: Bacterial small subunit ribosomal RNA
Source: RNAcentral
GUCAGCUCGUGUUGUGAAAUGUUGGGUUAAGUCCCGCAACGAGCGCAACCCUUAUCCUUUGUUGCCAGCGGUCCGGCCGGGAACUCAAAGGAGACUGCCAGUGAUAAACUGGAGGAAGGUGGGGAUGACGUCAAGUCAUCAUGGCCCUUACGACCAGGGCUACACACGUGCUACAAUGGCGCAUACAAAGAGAAGCGACCUCGCGAGAGCAAGCGGACCUCAUAAAGUGCGUCGUAGUCCGGAUUGGAGUCUGCAACUCGACUCCAUGAAGUCGGAAUCGCUAGUAAUCGUGGAUCAGAAUGCCACGGUGAAUACGUUCCCGGGCCUUGUACACACCGCCCGUCACACCAUGGGAGUGGGUUGCAAAAGAAGUAGGUAGCUUAACCUUCGGGAGGGCGCUUACCACUUUGUGAUUCAUGACUGGGGUGAAGUCGUAACAAGGUAACCGUAGGGGAACCUGCGGUUGGAUCACCUCCUUACCUUAAAGAAGC